Ictidomys tridecemlineatus (thirteen-lined ground squirrel) is the source of this 131-nucleotide small nucleolar RNA. Its record names the gene U8. It matches the Rfam family "U8 small nucleolar RNA". From Rfam's summary of the family: U8 is a member of the C/D class of snoRNA which contain the C (UGAUGA) and D (CUGA) box motifs. The record is from Ensembl. NCBI's taxonomy places the organism in Eukaryota, Metazoa, Chordata, Mammalia, Rodentia, Sciuridae.
UUGUCAGCUUACAUAAUCCUUACCUGUUUCUACUUUUGGAAGGCAGAAUAGAACAUGAUGAUUGGAGUUUGUAUGGUAUGUGAUCAAUGAGUUUGCAUGGUCAGGACUUGCAACACCCGAUUGCUCCUGAU